AUUCCCCUAGUAACGGCGAGUGAAGAGGGAAGAGCUCAAAUUUGAAAGCUGGUACCUUCGGUAUCCGCGUUGUAACCUCGAGACACGUUUUCCGUGCGGCGCUAUGGACAAGUUCCUUGGAACAGGACAUCGUAGAGGGUGAAAAUCCCGUACUUGCCAUGGAUGUACCGUGCUUUGCGAUACGUGCUCUAAGAGUCGAGUUGUUUGGGAUUGCAGCUCAAAAUGGGUGGUAGACUCCAUCUAAAGCUAAAUAUCGGGGAGAGACCGAUAGCGAACAAGUACCGUGAGGGAAAGAUGAAAAGCACUUUGGAAAGAGAGUUAAAAGUACGUGAAAUUGUCGAAAGGGAAGCGCUUGAAGUCAGCCAUGCCGCUCAGGACUCAGCCUGGCUUUUGCUUGGUGUAUUUCCUGGGUAGCAAGUCAGCAUUGGUUUGGAUCGUCGGAGAAGCAUAGUCGGAAUGUGGCGCCCUCGGGCGUGUUAUAGCCUUCUAUUGGAUACGACGAUCUAGACCAAGGAACGCAGCGCGCCUUAUGGCGGGUCUU
This 541-nucleotide ribosomal RNA is filed under the name Malassezia furfur. RNAcentral describes it as "eukaryotic LSU rRNA". It matches the Rfam family "Eukaryotic large subunit ribosomal RNA", at positions 74 to 620 of the family's 3401-position model. Lineage: Eukaryota; Fungi; Basidiomycota; Malasseziomycetes; Malasseziales; Malasseziaceae. The record is from RNAcentral.